GCCGGGCUGGUGGAAUGGUAGACACAUCAGACUUAAAAUCUGACGGGUGCGCCCGUGCCGGUUCGACUCCGGCGCUCGGCACCA
This 84-nucleotide transfer RNA is filed under the name Piscinibacter aquaticus. Its description in RNAcentral is "tRNA-Leu". It matches the Rfam family "tRNA". Rfam says of the family: Transfer RNA (tRNA) molecules are approximately 80 nucleotides in length. Their secondary structure includes four short double-helical elements and three loops (D, anti-codon, and T loops). Lineage: Bacteria; Pseudomonadati; Pseudomonadota; Betaproteobacteria; Burkholderiales; Sphaerotilaceae. The record is from RNAcentral.